GGAGGAGAUGAGAUACGUGGUGAAGAUGUGCCACCUGAGGUUCCUACUCCUACACAUGCGGACUCGAGGGAGCUUGAAAAUCCAACACCGCAUGAAUUUCCAGAGUUACAGGAAGACACCCGGUGUGCACUUCUAGCCCCGGGGCAUGCAAAUAGUACCGUGUUGAGUUUGGUGGCGUAUGGUAGUGC
Long non-coding RNA from Chenopodium quinoa (quinoa), 188 nucleotides. RefSeq lists it as uncharacterized. NCBI's taxonomy places the organism in Eukaryota, Viridiplantae, Streptophyta, Magnoliopsida, Caryophyllales, Amaranthaceae. The transcript has 3 exons. The record is from RefSeq and is a predicted model, not a curated record.